Molecule: non-coding RNA, 574 nt
Organism: Camelina sativa (false flax)
Lineage: Eukaryota; Viridiplantae; Streptophyta; Magnoliopsida; Brassicales; Brassicaceae
Source: RefSeq, a predicted model, not a curated record
UUUUAUGCUCGACUGAUAAAAGACACGACUCACAACAUAUGUUUCUGUUGAAGAUUUUAUGAUAGUUAUAAUAAAAAGCAAAGUGAUCAUGCUCCGAUGAGAAUGGUCAACAAGAUCAAUUUGCUAACGAGAUCACAUUUGAUAGUUGUGGUGAUUGAUGAGAUUGGCCGUGACAUUGGUUCAGAGCAGAUGGCUGAGUUACUUGGGGAUGCAGGAAAUAGUGGAGCUUCGAGGGUAUCGUUUUGUAUAGGUGGAGCUUAUGGACAUGGAAGAGAAGUGAGGAAGUGAGGAAGCGAGCUAAUGUGACUAUUAGACUGUCCUCUAUGGUUCUGAAUCAUCAGAUAGCUCUUGUGGUACUGAUGGAACAGCUUUACAGGGCAUAGACUAUUCUCAAGGGACAAAAUUACCAUCAUUGAUGAUGCAUGAAUCUGUUUUUUGGGUUCCUCUGUUGCUUUCUCCUGUAUAAAGAAACUACAUUACCAAAUAGCUUAUUUGGUGGUAGUUGUAUCAGAGAUUGUUUAUUGAACGUCGAACUUUUGCAAUCCAAAUUUGCUUGCUUCUUAUUUAUUUCAGA